Molecule: unclassified non-coding RNA, 200 nt
Filed under: soil metagenome
Description: partial contains 5.8S ribosomal RNA, internal transcribed spacer 2, and large subunit ribosomal RNA
Source: RNAcentral
AACUGAUACUACCUGCGGGAACCUGCGGAAGGAUCAUUAUCAAUUUACAGCGGACUUCGGUCCUGUCUGCACCCUUGUCUUUUGCGUACUAUAUGUUUCCUCGGUGGGCUUGCCUGCCGAUAGGACACUUAUAAACUCUUUUGUAAUUGCAAUCAGCGUCAGAAAACUAUAAUAGUUACAACUUUUAACAACGGAUCUCU